RNAcentral lists this long non-coding RNA (1398 nucleotides) under Oryctolagus cuniculus (rabbit). Its description in RNAcentral is "lncRNA (ENSOCUG00000031527.1)". The record is from RNAcentral. Lineage: Eukaryota; Metazoa; Chordata; Mammalia; Lagomorpha; Leporidae.
AUGGCUCCGGGGUGGGGCGGGGUCUAUCUCUCUCUCCCACGGGGAGACCCUCCUGGGUUCGCAGCUCUAGCCCCAGGCCAGCCCAGUCCUGGUUCUUGUGGGCAUUCGGGGAUGCACCAGCAGACGGGAGCCCUGUCUGUCGGUCUGUCUCUUUGUCUUUGUCUCUCUUUCUCUGCUCCUCAAACAAGGUUAAAUAAACCGAUAGACCGCCAGCCCCUCAGAGCCGACUCUGUCCUUAGGCAAGGUUGGCUCCCGUCGGGGUCGGGGUCCUCAGACAGAGGCGGCAGGCCCAGGGGUGCUCGGGCCCGGCUGUGGGGUCAGAGGCGGCAGGCCCAGGGGUGCUCGGGCCCGGCAGUGGGGUCAGAGGCGGCAGGCCCAGGGGUGCUCGGGCCCGGCUGUGGGGUCAGAGGCGGCAGGCCCAGGGGUGCUCGGGCCCGGCUGUGGGGUCGUGGGUCCUCAGACAGAGGCAGCAGGCCCAGGGGUGCUCGGGCCCGGCUGUGGGGUCAGAGGCAGCAGGCCCAGGGGUGCUCGGGCCCGGCUGUGGGCCAGAGGCGGCAGGCCCAGGGGUGUUCGGGCCCGGCUGUGGGGUCAGAGGCGGCAGGCCCAGGGGUGCUCGGGCCCGGCUGUGGGGUAAGAGGCGGCAGGCCCAGGGGUGCUCGGGUCUGGCAGUGGGGUCGUGGGUCCUCAGACAGAGGUGGCAGGCCCAGGGGUGCUCGGGUCCAGCUGUGGGGUCAGAGGCAGCAGGCCCAGGGGUGCUCGGGCCCGGCUGUGGGGUCAGAGGCGGCAGGCCCAGGGUGCUCGGGCCCGGCUGUGGGGUCAGAGGCGGCAGGCCCAGGGGUGCUCGGGCCCAGCAGUGGGGUCGUGGGGCAGGUGUGUGAUCUGGUGACAGCCUCGAGGCACAGACGUCGUUCCGCGCCUCGGUCUCGUGCCUCGGCCUCGGGUCCUUUCCUCAGCCAGGCAGGGGCCACCCACGGGGCAGCAGGGGUUCAGCUGAAGGAGUGCCUUCCUACUGGCACCGGCACUGAGGUGUGCUCAAGAUUCACGACUGCAGGGCCGGCGCUGUGGCGUAGCGGGUAAUGCCGCCGCUUGCAGAGCCGGCAUCCCAUAUGGGCUCUGGUUCAAGACCUGACUGCUCCACUUCUGAUCCAGCUCUCUGCUAUGGCCGGGGAAAGCAGUAGAAGAUGGCCCAAGUGCUUGGGCCCCUGCACCCGCAUGGGAGACCAGGAGGAAGCUCCUGGCUCCUGGCUUUGGAUUGGCACAGCUCCGGCCAUUGUGGCCAACUGGGGAGUGAACCAUUGGACGGAUCUCUCUCCCUCCCUCUCUCUACCUCUGCCUCUCUGAAACCUAUAACUCUGCCUUUCAAAUAAAUUACUAAAUCUUUAAAAAAAAGAAAAAAAA